Molecule: non-coding RNA, 575 nt
Organism: Phalacrocorax carbo (great cormorant)
Lineage: Eukaryota; Metazoa; Chordata; Aves; Suliformes; Phalacrocoracidae
Source: RefSeq, a predicted model, not a curated record
UGCGAUUAGAAAUUUCAGUGUGAAUAAGCCACACUGAGUCUGAAGAAUGACCAUUCACAUUGGUUUCCUGUUUUAUUUUACUGCUUGAAACGUGGCAGUGACUCAAAGCCUAAACCCAGUAUGGGGCCUCCUCAUCCUAACUGAGGUAGAUCCUCUUGUGAAAAGACAGACCAAACCUCCAAGAACUCGCAGUCUUUCAGAGGGAUUUGCAGAGACAAAAGCCAGCAGUUCAGAAAAUUGCCCAGCCAAAUGCAGAUUUCACUAUUAAUACCAAGGCUGAAGACUUCAGUACUAUGUGGGAUUUUGACCAUAGAACCAGACAAACUCUAAAUACUAGCAAGGUGUGACUCUGUGAUUCCGUAGGUCUAAUUUCAGCUUCAUCAGGUCUGUCCCCAUUCCUCCCAUGAAGACCCAGUAGCCCCUAUGGGAGAGUCUCCUGUGCUGUCGACGCUCCCCCUGCUGACAGCGUUCAAUCAGGAAAAUGCAUUGCAAGGGCUUGAGGAACACUGAAAAGAAGAAAUCGCUUUGAGGGAGUUCAUGGAAGAAACAGAAACAGUAGAGGCAAUCACGGGUAU